AAAACUCAUAGUAAUUUUAUUUUUUCGCAAAAAGAUAUGAAAAAACCUAGAAUCCUCCGGAAUUCUAUUUCCCUACAUGGGGAAUUUUUUUAUUUUAUCAUACCCAUACUGCAGAUAUGUUUAAGUGGGUCGUCUGCAUUAAAUGAAGCACCCCACAAGUGAAAUGAUUCCUGUUUUGCAGCAAUGUGUCGUUUUGAAAUGAAUGUCUGCGCGGAUUCCCACAACCAUGUCUGAUGCAGAGCACAGAGGCGUCAAUCAGUUCAGCCAUUGAAUCGAAGAAGCUUUGAUUCCGCGCAUAUGGCAUGAACCUGAUCGUCGCAUUGAAUCGAAGAAGCUUUGAUUCCCAUGCAAUCUCUGCAACAAUCUGUGGAAGAUCCACCAAUUUUGUCGUCAAGUUUCAGAGAUCCGUGUGUGCAGAAGCUUGAACUGUUGUUAUGUGCGGCACCUUCAAGUUAUAAAGAAACGGAAUCUAAUCGUUACCGACAUGCAUGACACGUCGAAGCUUGCAUCGAUUCACCACUGUGCUUAAACUCUAUAUCAAGGUUGUGGGCAAUUUU
RNAcentral lists this long non-coding RNA (557 nucleotides) under Physcomitrium patens. RNAcentral's name for it is "long non-coding RNA (PPAT_LNC009145)". The record is from RNAcentral. Lineage: Eukaryota; Viridiplantae; Streptophyta; Bryopsida; Funariales; Funariaceae.